Molecule: ribosomal RNA, 484 nt
Filed under: uncultured bacterium
Lineage: Bacteria
Description: partial 16S ribosomal RNA
Rfam family: Bacterial small subunit ribosomal RNA
Source: RNAcentral
AUUGAACGCUGGCGGCAUGCUUUACACAUGCAAGUCGAACGGCAGCGCGGGCUUCGGCCUGGCGGCGAGUGGCGAACGGGUGAGUAAUACAUCGGAACGUGCCCAGUAGUGGGGGAUAGCUCGGCGAAAGCCGGAUUAAUACCGCAUACGACCUGAGGGUGAAAGCGGGGGAUCUUCGGACCUCGCGCUAUUGGAGCGGCCGAUGGCAGAUUAGCUAGUUGGUGGGGUAAAGGCCUACCAAGGCGACGAUCUGUAGCUGGUCUGAGAGGACGACCAGCCACACUGGGACGGAGACACGGCCCAGACUCCUACGGGAGGCAGCAGUGGGGAAUUUUGGACAAUGGGCGAAAGCCUGAUCCAGCAAUGCCGCGUGUGUGAUGAAGGCCUUCGGGUUGUAAAGCACUUUUGGCGGGAACGAAAAGGACUGUGCCAAUGCCACGGUUCGAUGACGGUACCCGCAGAAUAAGCACCGGCUAACUACGUG